RNAcentral lists this unclassified non-coding RNA (254 nucleotides) under Hevea brasiliensis (rubber tree). Lineage: Eukaryota; Viridiplantae; Streptophyta; Magnoliopsida; Malpighiales; Euphorbiaceae. The record is from RNAcentral.
GUUUUGCUGUUCGUCUAGCCUUUAAUGGAGAAAUGGACUGGUCUAGCUGUUCAUUCGGCUGUUUCUGAAAUCUGGGUUUGAUUUGUUUCUUGAUUUGAAGAAUACCCUUUUGAAUUUUAUUAUGUUUGUGGGGGAAUCCGUUGUGCACACAAACUGUUUGAUGAAAUUUCUAAGAGGAAUUUGGUUUCUUGGAACACCUUGAUGGGUGGUGUAAGUAAUUAUUCUGCGGUUUUGGAUAUGAUUGUAGAGUUGCG